Molecule: long non-coding RNA, 2132 nt
Organism: Chloebia gouldiae (Gouldian finch)
Lineage: Eukaryota; Metazoa; Chordata; Aves; Passeriformes; Passeridae
Source: Ensembl
GGCCAAUGGCUCCUGGCCUGAAUCAGGAAUGGUGUGGCCAGCAGGAGCAGGGCAGGGAUUCUUCCCCUGUGCUCAGCACUGGUUGGGCAGCACCUCCAGUUCUGUGUCCAUUUCUGGGCUCCCAAUUUAGGAAGGACAUGGAGGGGCUGGAGUAUGUCCAGAGAAGGGCAACAAGGCUGGGGAGGUGUCUGGAGCACAAGUCUUGUGAGGAACAGCUGAGAGAUUUGUGUUUGAGCCUGGAGAAGAGGAGGCUCUGGGGAGACCUCAUCACUCUCUAAAAUUCCCUGACAGGAGGGUGCAGCCAGGUGAGGGUCAGGCUCUGCUCCCAGCUGACCACUGACAGAAAGUGAGGACCCAGCCUUAAGCUGCACCUGGAGAAGUUUGGGUUGGACAUCAGAAAAAAAUUCUUCACAGAAGGAGAGAUUGGGCACUGGAAUUGUCUGACCAAGGCUGGUGGAGUCACUGUCCCUGGAGGGUUUAACAAAGCCUGGGCGUGGCACUCAGUGCCAGGCUUUAGUCCAUGAGGAGGUGUUGGGUCAUAGGUUGGACUUGAUGAUCUCAAAGGUCUUUUCCAACCUAAUUUAUUCAGGGAUUCUGUGAGCUGCUUCCAAUAAAACCUUGCACUGCCAUGUUCUCCAGCCUUCAGCCAGCACACACACAUCUCAGGGCACCAUUUUGCAAAGGGCUGUGUCACAGUGCAAUUCUGGCAGUUAUGGCAAGCUUGCCUUUGGAGCUGGAACCAAACUCCUGGUUUCUCCAGAAGUUACUCCAUCUCCCUCAGUCUACAGGCUGACCUCCAAAGAUGACCAGGGUCUGGAAAUGUGCCUUAUCACAGAUUACUCCCCUGAGAAGCUCACUCUGAACUCGGCUGAGCAGCACACAUCUGCUGUUGUGGAGGUGGCAACCACGGAGAACAGCGAGGAGUCCAGCUACCUGUCCACCUACUGGGCCAGGAGAGAUGAGCUGCACUGUGGUGCCAGCCACGAGGGCUUUGGAGAGCUGGAGGGCGAGGACCCUGAGAGUGGUGCCAGUGAUGUCUGUGUCACAGGGCUGUCCCUACAGUUCAGGACAGAUGAACACUUGAACACACUGUCUUUGUCACAGCUGGGCCUCAAAAUCGUUCUGAUGAAAGCAAUCAUUUUCAAUGUGCUGAUGACGAUGCUUAUGUGGAAGAAAAAAAAGGACUGAGAGUAACCAGGUGAUGCAGUCCUGAAGUACCAAACCCAUCUGCUUUGAGAGAGCAUCGUGAGCAAGAGGGAGCUGAGGGAUUAUUCUUUGUGCAAGGGACAUCCCUUCCUGCUCUUAUGUACCACACCAGCCAUUAUCUUCUAAAUUGCUUUAUUUGCAUUGCUAUAAAACUACUCAAAAUGAAACAUUUCCAGCAUUCUGCCCUCCAGAUGUCUGGGCCAUUCACCAUACAUUGCCUCUUUUGCAUGAAGCAGACUUUGCUAUAAUUACACAUUACCAAAAAUGUGUUGUUACUUGCAUUAAAGUGACAACUUCUGCCUGAGCAGUGCUGUGUGUUAAAAACUGCCAGCUAAAUAUGAGAAUUUUUCCUAUUUUGAUUGCUUUAGGUUAUUCAUAUGUGUUAGGGUACACCCCCAGAAACCUUUUCAGAUGCAAAUGAAACACUUUGAAAAGCAAAGGGAGUCUGACUCAAGAUGCACUGUCCUGCCACCCUUAUCUAGAUUAGAACAAGAUAUCCCAUUUUUUCCCUAAAGCAUGAGCUGCACAUCUCCCAGAAGUCCCAAAUUCAGUGAAAUUGUCACUUCAAUAUCACAGAAAAAAAAAUUAAAAAUUUUUAAAAUCUAUCUGACCAUAACACCUUCUUAAUUUAAACCAGUUUAAUUUGGCUUUGUGUUUAGUAAAAAUACAAUGUUCUUUCAAUGUUUAGUAAAAAUACAAUGUUCAUAGAAAAAUGUUCUUUUUGUUUCCUUCUAACAACCUGAGAUCUCUCUCUCUUCUUUUUGUAACAAUUGCAUAAAUAUUUACCUGUCCAUGUGGGCCCACCUUGGAACAGUGCUUGCCUGUGGCAUCUGCAUGCUGCUAAUUCAUGAACUGUACUGCCAUCCACAAGAUAUCUUGUUAUAAAACAAUUCUUACAAAAAAUGGGAAACUGGUUUGUCUCUUGU